CUGGGGGAUGGAAGUUCACUUC
This 22-nucleotide microRNA is filed under the name Ophiophagus hannah (king cobra). RNAcentral describes it as "oha-miR-30b-3p". Its record names the gene oha-miR-30b-3p. Lineage: Eukaryota; Metazoa; Chordata; Lepidosauria; Squamata; Elapidae. The record is from miRBase by way of RNAcentral.